Pipistrellus kuhlii (Kuhl's pipistrelle) is the source of this 1539-nucleotide long non-coding RNA. RefSeq lists it as uncharacterized. NCBI's taxonomy places the organism in Eukaryota, Metazoa, Chordata, Mammalia, Chiroptera, Vespertilionidae. The record is from RefSeq and is a predicted model, not a curated record. The transcript is spliced from 4 exons.
CCCCUACUGCCGCAUUGGUGGCAGAGGGAAGGCUCUUGGCACAGCCGGCUCCUUUCGCCGAGAAUGCCCUGGCCAAGCGCCCCGCCCACUGGGCUCCUGGUCCCCAGACCAGCCUGUGGUCCAGCACACAGCGGAGAAACAGAGCUACGAAAACAUGCCUGCUGAGCCCAGUGCCCUCACCCUCACCCGGGGAAGUCAGGGCCUUCCUGGGCCGCCAGCCCUGCGAUGAAAGGGAGCCGCUGGCCUGGAACCACGUGGGCCAGUGGUUGGAACCAGGGCAAGGUCGGAGGAAAGGGCAGAACCUGGACCCUGUCAGAAACCGGGGCCGGAGCGUGGCGGACAGGCGCCCUCCUCCUCUGGCCCUGCGGGUCAUGAACGCCAGACGCAUACCUUCCAUUGUCUGCGGUGGCUGCGGGCAGGCCCGGGCCUCCCGGUCUGAAACCACAGGCGGCUGGUCUGUGCUGUGAGCUCCGUGCAUCCCUCCGGCUGUCGUUGCCAAGUUCUGAGCUCUCAGACACAUGCAAAGAUGAGCAAACACGCCCUGGAAACUCAUCUGCGGCUCAUUAGAGGGAAAGGAGGCUCCCGGGGACUCUGAACUCCACUCUGCGGAUGGCCGGGAAGGGGGCCUCUUGGCUGUGCCUUGUCCUCCCUCCUGUGCUCAGGCUGCGUCUGGGUGUCCAGCAUCACGGAAAGACACUGGCUUAGAGAGCAAAGAAUCCACUCCCUGUCCCAGCUCGGCCACCAUCGGACUGUGUGGCCGUGGGCACAGCCUGGAUCUCUCGGGGCCUCGGUUGCUGUAUUUGCCAGCGGGGAGACUCGGCCUUUCCCUGCCUGCCUCUCUCUCUCGGAGGAGGGGAGGCUCCAUCAGGAGGUGGUCAAGGCCAGCGAGAGCCCAAGGCAGCCGUCGUCAGAGCUGGUCUCUUCCCGACCCCGGGUCUCUCUCCCAGCCCCUCUCAGUCCCACCGUCCCACCUCCGAGAGCCUCUCCUGCUUCUCCGAAGCCCCCGGCACCUUCCUGCAGCCCCCGGCACCUUCCUGCACCCUUCCCCCACACCAACGCUAGGCCCAGAGGCAGGGCGUUCUAAUGGUGGAAGGCAAGCACCUGAGGCGGGGAGGAGGGGGAGGAUGACGUGAUGGGCCUGAAGUGACGGGGGAAAGAGGCCACCUGCACCUGUUGUACAAUCAGCCCAUAGCCCUGGGACCUGAGAACCAGAGCUCUGAAGCCUAUAAAUUAACAGAACGUGGCUGAGCAAGUAUGCGCCUGAGGGGAUGUUGGGCUGGACUCCUCGGCACCCUGUCAGAUGCCCCCUCCCCGGGUUCCCAGCUCAGUCGCCGAGGUCCGCCCACCGCAGUCCCCACGCAGCCCAGCCCGUCCGAAAGAGGAAGAAAUAAAAGAGGGCAAAUGUGAGGAAACCGUUUUAUAGCCCUUUAGUAACUGUUUUGCCAGGUUCUGUUUAUUCUGCUCAAAGCAUGUUAUAAAAAUAUUCGGCAAUUAAGGAAAGGGGGGAAAUCGCACCAGGGGAGUCCUUUUAAAAACGGG